AUGUCCCACUCGUACACUGCGGUUCUGAGCGCGCCGUCCACAUCCACCUACCGACUGCUCGCGAAGUUCUGUCAGCA
Molecule: small RNA, 77 nt
Filed under: Xanthomonas populi
Lineage: Bacteria; Pseudomonadati; Pseudomonadota; Gammaproteobacteria; Lysobacterales; Lysobacteraceae
Description: sX9 sRNA
Rfam family: Xanthomonas sRNA sX9
Source: RNAcentral